RNAcentral lists this ribosomal RNA (453 nucleotides) under uncultured Porphyromonadaceae bacterium. RNAcentral's name for it is "partial 16S ribosomal RNA". It matches the Rfam family "Bacterial small subunit ribosomal RNA", at positions 341 to 792 of the family's 1533-position model. The record is from RNAcentral. Lineage: Bacteria; Pseudomonadati; Bacteroidota; Bacteroidia; Bacteroidales; Porphyromonadaceae.
ACGGAAGGCAGCAGUGAGGAAUAUUGGUCAAUGGGCGGAAGCCUGAACCAGCCAAGUCGCGUGAAGGAAGAAGGUAUUAUGUAUUGUAAACUUCUUUAGCUGUGGAGCAAUAAUCGCUAUGUAUAGCGAGAUGAGAGUACACAGAGAAUAAGGAUCGGCUAACUUCGUGCCAGCAGCCGCGGUAAUACGGAGGAUCCGAGCGUUAUCCGGAUUUAUUGGGUUUAAAGGGUGCGCAGGCGGCGUUUUAAGUCAGUGGUAAAAUCGUGGGGCUCAACCCCAUCCUGCCAUUGAUACUGGAGCGCUUGAUUGCGGUCGAGGUUUGCGGAAUUCGUCGUGUAGCGGUGAAAUGCAUAGAUAUGACGAAGAACACCGAUUGCGUAGGCAGCUUACCAAGCCGUAAAUGACGCUCAUGCACGAAAGUGCGGGGAUCGAACAGGAUUAGAUACCCUGGUA